This 250-nucleotide ribosomal RNA is filed under the name uncultured bacterium. RNAcentral describes it as "partial 16S ribosomal RNA". It matches the Rfam family "Bacterial small subunit ribosomal RNA", at positions 524 to 773 of the family's 1533-position model. The record is from RNAcentral.
UACAGAGGGUGCGAGCGUUAAUCGGAAUUACUGGGCGUAAAGAGCGCGUAGGCGGUCGUGUAAGUCAGAUGUGAAAGACCUUGGCUCAACCAAGGAACUGCAUUUGAUACUGCAUAACUAGAGUAUGGUAGAGGAAAGUGGAAUUUCCGGUGUAGCGGUGAAAUGCGUAGAUACCGGAAGGAACACCAGUGGCGAAGGCGGCUUUCUGGACCAAUACUGACGCUGAGGCGCGAAAGCGUGGGGAGCAAAC